This is a non-coding RNA of Myodes glareolus (Bank vole), 596 nucleotides long. Lineage: Eukaryota; Metazoa; Chordata; Mammalia; Rodentia; Cricetidae. The record is from RefSeq and is a predicted model, not a curated record.
UCCCUUGGUCACCAAUGGAAAGGAAGGUAUUCCCUUCUUGGCACUGGAGUUUCGUCAGUUUGUGAAUUCUAGGAGGUAUCAUCCUGCCGAUUGAGAAAUAUUUUGAGAGGCCCAUGACCUUUGGCUGACACUCGGCGAGGCUAUUAGUUUACCCGUGGAUGCGCUACCAAACCCAGAGGAGUCAAACGGGACGUCUUUUCUGGAAAGCUGAUUGCAAGAAUUUUUCUUUAUAAAGACUCUAGUAACAGAUGGAACAGACAAAGGAGAAUAAAAGGAGACAAGUGGGGGGCGGUGCUUCACUUCCGCUGAUUGGUAUAACAUCAGUUUCUAGUGUCUUUCCAACCAUAUGUUCAAAAUGGAGAGCACGGUUCACAUUUCAAUGUCACGCUGCCCUCCGUUCAUAAACAUGUAUCAUCCAUCACUAAAUAUUUAGAUCCGAAUUGUUGGAGCUGAGCUCUGUGCCAGGGGUAAAGGGAUUAAUUCCUUUCAAGGUCCUCACAUGAUGGAUUUUCCCCUGAAGUAAACAUCCGAGAAGCGCCCACACUGAAGCCAUAAAAUGUAUAAAUAAAGUUUAAAGUUUAAUUAAGUCAACAUUA